GGCCGGGCUGAGCCUGAUGCAGGAAGUCCAGACCUUUCUUAGGUUGGCCCGCCUCCACGUAGGCAGCACCGAGGUUAAAGGAACAGGCCCGGACGACCCGAUAGUCCUGCAGCUGAGGAGGAGCAGCGCAUGAUGGUGUGACCUGUUGGUGACCUUUGACCUCAGCAGUCUGACCUGUUGCCUUCAGACCGUUGUUAAAGCAGCUCAGAGCGUCUUCAGUCCGUCCUUCCUGCAGGGCUCUGUGACCAGCAGACGUUAACUCCUCGAUGUCCACCUCCUUCUGAGCCUCCUUCCUCCUCACCUCCUGCUCCCUCCUCCU
Molecule: long non-coding RNA, 319 nt
Organism: Sebastes umbrosus (honeycomb rockfish)
Lineage: Eukaryota; Metazoa; Chordata; Actinopteri; Perciformes; Sebastidae
Exons: 3
Source: RefSeq, a predicted model, not a curated record